UACGUAGGCAGCAAGCGUUGUUCGGAGUUACUGGGCGUAAAGAGUGUGUAGGCGGUGCUCUAAGUUCGGUGUGAAAUCUCCUGGCUCAACUGGGAGGGUGCGCCGGAAACUGGAGUGCUUGAGCGUGGGAGAGGAAAGCGGAAUUCCUGGUGUAGCGGUGAAAUGCGUAGAUAUCAGGAGGAACACCUGUGGUGUAGACGGCUUUCUGGACCAUAGCUGACGCUGAGACACGAAAGCGUGGGUAGCAAACAGG
This 253-nucleotide ribosomal RNA is filed under the name uncultured bacterium. RNAcentral's name for it is "partial 16S ribosomal RNA". It matches the Rfam family "Bacterial small subunit ribosomal RNA", at positions 524 to 776 of the family's 1533-position model. The record is from RNAcentral.